Molecule: ribosomal RNA, 213 nt
Filed under: Triticum aestivum (bread wheat)
Lineage: Eukaryota; Viridiplantae; Streptophyta; Magnoliopsida; Poales; Poaceae
Description: partial small subunit ribosomal RNA
Source: RNAcentral
AUGCCAAAUCUUCUCCAUGUCAUCCCAGUUGCUUACGAUUCCGUGCUCAAUGGGGUACUUCAAAGUCAGGAUACCCCUCUUGGAUUGGGCCUCAUCACCAACAUAAGCAUCCUUCUGCCCCAUCCCUACCAUAACACCAGUGUGGCGUGGACGGCCAACAAUACUAGGGAAAACAGCACGUGGAGCAUCGUCUCCGGCAAAGCCAGCCUAUGA